Molecule: small RNA, 16 nt
Filed under: Arabidopsis thaliana (thale cress)
Lineage: Eukaryota; Viridiplantae; Streptophyta; Magnoliopsida; Brassicales; Brassicaceae
Description: ATSL308130
Source: RNAcentral
GGGAAAAAUAUCAAAA